AACGAACGCUGGCGGCAGGCCUAAAACAUGCAAGUCGAACGAACCUUCGGGUUAGUGGCGCACGGGUGAGUAACACGUGGGAAUGUGCCUCUGGGUGCGGAACAACGUCGGGAAACUGACGCUAAUACCGCAUAAUGUCUACGGACCAAAGAUUUAUUGCCCAGAGAUCAGCCCGCGUCUGAUUAGCUAGUUGGUGAGGUAAUGGCUCACCAAGGCGACGAUCAGUAGCUGGUCUGAGAGGAUGAUCAGCCACACUGGAACUGAGACACGGUCCAGACUCCUACGGGAGGCAGCAGUUAGGAAUAUUGGACAAUGGGGGCAACCCUGAUCCAGCCAUGCCGCGUGUGUGAAGAAGGCCUUAGGGUUGUAAAGCACUUUCGGCUGUGAAGAUAAUGACAGUAGCAGAAGAAGAAGCUCCGGCUAAAUUCGUGCCAGCAGCCGCCGUAA
This 447-nucleotide ribosomal RNA is filed under the name uncultured bacterium. RNAcentral describes it as "partial 16S ribosomal RNA". It matches the Rfam family "Bacterial small subunit ribosomal RNA", at positions 29 to 523 of the family's 1533-position model. The record is from RNAcentral.